Monodelphis domestica (gray short-tailed opossum) is the source of this 13737-nucleotide long non-coding RNA. RefSeq lists it as uncharacterized. Lineage: Eukaryota; Metazoa; Chordata; Mammalia; Didelphimorphia; Didelphidae. The record is from RefSeq and is a predicted model, not a curated record.
CAAUUACAUGUAAUUUUUUUCAUUUUUUAAAUUUUGCAUGUCUUUUUAAAAAUAAUAAUUGAUUAAUUUACCUUUUAAAAUACUUUCCUAUGUUUCCAUGAUUCAUUUUUUUUCCCUCCCUUCUUUUCUACUCCCUCCCAGAGCCAACAAACAAUUCCACUGGGCUGUAUAAAUGUUGUCAUUUGAUACCUAUUUCCAUAUUAUUCAUUUGUGCUAUAGAGUGGUUUUUAAAAAUCUCUGCCUAUGAAUAAUUCUUCUAUCUACUAUGAUAGUGAAAACAAUUUUUAAGAGCUACAGAUACUAUUUUUCCAUAUAAGAAUAUAAUCAAUUUGACCUCACUGAAGCCCUUAAAAAUUUUCCCCCUCUUUCUUAUUUACCUUUUUACAGUUCUUUUGAAUUUUGUAUUUGGAAAUAAAAUUUUCCAUUUAGUUCUGAUCUUUUCUUUAGGAAUGCUUGGAAAUCUUCAAUUUUGUUAAAUGGCCAAACUUUUCCCCGAAAGUAUAUAGUCAGUUUUGAUGGGUAGGUGAUUUUUGGUUGUAGACCCAGUUCCUUAGCCUUCCAGAAUAUCAUAUUCCAAGCCUUCUGAUCCUUCAAUGUCAAAGCUGCCAGAUUCUGUGUAAUCCUGUAAUCCUGAUAUCUGAAUUGUUUGUUUCUGAAUGCUUUGCAGUGUUUUCUCUUUGGCCUGGAAGCUCUUGAACUUGGCUAUAACAUUGCUGGUAGUUUUCAUUUGGGGAUUUAAUGCAGGAGGUGAUCUGUGGAUUCUUUCAAUAUCUAUUGUGCCCUCUUGUUCAAGAAUAUCAGGGCAGUUUUGUUGGAUAAUUUCUUAUAAUAUGUUGUCAAGACUUUUGUUCCAGGCUUUCAGGUAGACCCAAUUAUUCUCAAAUUGUCUCUCUUGGAUCUGUUUUCCAAGUCAGUUGUCUUUUCAAUGAAAUAUUUCAUUUUUUAAUUUUGCUUUAUUAAUUCUUGCUGUCUUGUGAUAUCAUUAGCUUCUACUUGCCCAAAUCUAGUCUUUAAAGACAGAUUUUCAGCUAUGAUCUUUUGAUGUUCCUUUUUGGCUUGAUCUAUCCUGCAUUUUUCAUGGAUAUCAGCAGGUCAAUUCUGGUCUCCAAUUUGCUUAUUACUUAAUUUAUUUCUGUACCUCUUUUUCCAUAUGGAUAAUUUUGUCUUUUAAGCUGUUAUUUCUUUUUGUAUUACUUUAAUUUCUUUUUCCCACUUUUCUUUCCAUUUUUCUUAAGAUCUUUCUUACUUGGUUCUUGAACUCCUUUUUGAGUUCCUCAAGAGUUUGUGACCAAUUUCCAUUUUUUUUGGAAAGUUUGGAUGUAUUUGCUUGUCUGUCACUCUCUGCUAUUUUGUAUCUGUAUUUUGCUCUUUUUCUCCAUAGAAAUUAUCCAGGAUCAAGAACACAUGUGAUACCCAGAGGAAUCACGCAUCUCCAAUGGGAGGGGUGGUGGGAGGGGGAGGGGAGGAAAAGAAAAUGAUCUUUGUUUCUAAUGAAUAAUGUUUGAAAAUGACCAAAUAAAAUAAUGUUUAAAAGGAAAAAAAAUAAAUGAAUGCUACAUAUUGUUAUGAGGAAAAAAAAAGAAAUUAUCCAAGGUCAAGAGCUUUUUUUUUUUGCUGCCACUUAUUCCUUUUACCACUAGUAGAUUGGGGUUCCUGUAUGUUGAUUGUUUCUUAGCUUCUGUCUCACAGGGCUUUGCCUUGUGACUAUCUUCAUUGCUCAGUCAGAAGCCUGAGUGAGGGCAAGUAAAUCUGUGAUGUUUUGUGUAGCAUGCUUUAAAGCAUUUUGCUCUGAGGCUACCUUUCCAGUCCUUGCUGCCUUGUCUGUGGCCAGCCUUGUUUCUGCCCAAGCUCUGUGCUCUGCUGCCCAGGCUCCAUGCUCUUCAGCUUCAAGACUUAAGUCGGGCUGCUAAGGCCUUGCACUGCCUUCAGGGGUUAGUCUACGGUGCUUUCAGCCACCCUCAAGAAUUUAGAUUGCUUGGCCUUUGCUCUGACUCUGGUGUGGGACAGGGGUGAUAAGCUUGCACUUUGAUAAGUGCAGUUUCACCUCCUUAUAGCAGUGGGAAUUCCAAAACACUGUCUACCUCCAAGGCUGAGUCCAGUGGGGAACCCCUUUACUCCAUAUGAUUUUGAUUUCUGUCCUUUUGAAAUACUUUGUAAUAAUCAGUUGGAAGAAGAUUCAGAAGGCUCUUGCUACUAUGCUGCCAUCUUAGCUCUGUCUUUCUGUAAAAUAUUUUUAAGCAUUCAUUUUUUUUUUAAACCCUUACCUUCCAUCUUGGAGUCAAUACCGUGUAUUGGCUCCAAGGCAGAAGAGUGGUAAGGGCUAGGCAAUGGGGGUCAAAUGACUUGCCCAGGGUCACACAGCUGGGAAGUGUCUGAGGCCAGAUUUGAACCUAGGACCUCCCGUCUCUAGGACUGGCUCUCAAUCCACUGAGCUACCCAGUUGCCCCCUAAGCAUUCAUUUUUUACACAUUUGAGUCCCAAAUUCUCUCCUUCCCUCUUGCUCUUCCUUCACUUUUUGAGGAGGCAAGCAAUAGUAUAUUGAUUAUAUAUAUGAAGUCGUGUAAAACAUUUUCAUGUUAGCCAUGUUGCAAAAGAAAACUUACAUACAACACAAUACACACAUACACACAAAUAAAAAAAGAAAAAUAAAGUAAAAAAAAUAUAGUAUUGUUCAACAAAUACUCAGAGUUCUCCAGUUCUCCCUCUGGGGAAGGAUAGGACUUUUCAUCUUGGGUCCCUUGAAACUGUCAUGGAUCCUCUUCUUGGUCAGAGUAGCUCAGCCUUUUAUAGCUAUUGUUGUUUGGUCAUUUCAUUAGUGUUCAACUCUUUGUGAUAUCAUUUGGGUAUCUUGGCAAAGAUACUAGAAUAGUUUGCCAUUUCCUUUUCCAGUUCAUUUGACAGAGGAGGUAGACUUAAAUGACUUGCUUAGGGUCACAGAGCUAAUAAGUGUCUGAGACCAUAUUUGAACUUAGAAAGAUGAGUCUUCCUGUCUACUGAGCCAGCUAACUGCCAAAAUUGACCAUCCUUAAAUAUUGCCAUUACUGAGUACAGUGUUCUUCUGGUUCUGCUUACUUUACUUUGCAUCAGUUCAUACAAGACUUCCCACAUUUUCUGAAACCAUUCUGUUUAUCAUUUUUUAUAGUACAGUAGUUUUCCUUCACAAUUAGAUACUAUAAAUUGUUCAGCCAUUCUCCAAUUGAUGGGCAUCCCCUCAAUUUCCAAGACUUUUCCUCACAAAAAGCUGCUUUUAAACCUUUUGGUAUAAAUAGGUCCUUUUUUCCUUUUGUAAGAAUUUAUUUUUCAUAUACUGUUAAUUCCUAUAUAUUCAAGAAAAUUACCAUGUAUUCUUCUGUUUGGAAUCUGAGUCAGAGAUAUAAUUUAGUCUGUUACUUUUUGCUUUUCCUUUGUCCUUGGAAAUCCCAAAGAAUGUCUUCCUUUUAAACAGAAUUUUGUUAAUAAAUUAAGGUGAAAAGGGUUCUUUUCUGGUGGACAUAACCUGUCUGCUUAUGGACAUGGAAAGGGGUGCAUAGUCUGAUGGACCACCCCUUAAUUAUCUAUCACUAAUUAAAAAUGUCUUGGGAUGUUCAAGGGACGGGCUCAAUAAUGAGCUAAAAAUUUAGUCAUCUUGGAAUAAGAGAGCCAUAGAGACCUAUAUGACUUUAUUGGUUUUGAUGCUGGCCUAACCAAUAAACUUUAUAUAAUCAAUAAACUUAUAUUCUUACUCAAAAGUCAGUCUCUUGAGAUAACUUUAAUCAUAACACACUUCUUUGAUCUUUUUGGAACACACACCUAGCACUGGUAUUGCUAGAUCAAGGGCUAUAUAUACAUAUAUUUAUAGCAUUUGAGGCAUGGUUCCAAAUUGUUCCCUAGAAUUGUUGGACUAGUUCUUCACCAACUUCACCAACACUGCAUUAGGGUUCUGAUUUUUUCCAUAUCCUCUCCAGCAUUUGUCAUGAGUUGUGAGGUUUCUGGUGUCCUCCCAAUAUAAGCAUGCAUCUCCCUUUUACAGAUAAGCCUCAGGCCUUGUUCUUACCCAGUCAGAAGGUGAGGUUAAAUAGCAAAUAGGGGUUCAGAAUAGUACAUUUUCACAAUGUAAGAUGAGCUAUGGCUAAAGUUGAGCAAUUUUUGUCAAAUGAUGAGUACUUAACCCGAAAGCUUGAAUCUUUGAGUUUAUCAAAUACUAAAUUCCUAUGAUCUUUUUUUUUUAACUAGUACUAAUCAGUUUUCUGACAAUACAUAAUUAAUCAAAAUUUACUAGCAUUUAAGCCAUGUUGGGAGGAAAGGCACACCAUCACCCACAACAACACAUUUAAUAGUCUGCAUUGCUGAAGUCUUUUUGUAUCCACUUUCAAUAUUUCAAAUCCAAUGUAAUCUUGUUCCAGAUUUCUGCUGGAUGUGAGAUUUCUUUUUUUUUUUUUAAACCCUUACCUUUCAUCUUGGAAUCAACACUAUGUAUUGGUUCCAAGGCAGAAGAGUGGUAAGGGCUAGGCAAUGGGGGUUAAGUGACUUGCCCAGAGUCACACAGCUGGGAAGUGUCUGAGGUCAGAUUUGAACCUAGGACCUCCCAUCUCUUGGCCUGGCUCUCAAUCCACUGAGCUACCCAGCUGCCCCCCAGAUGUGAGAUUUCUAUCUUGGAUCAGCAGCUCAAACCUCCAGGAACCAGGAGGAAAGAAUCUAAUCCCUAUGGUCUUUUGAUAGUAUAUAUUGUGAUCCACCACUCUAUUUCUUAGCCAAUACCAGGUUGUUUUGAUGAUUAUGGCAUUGUAAUACAGUUUGAAAUCUGGUACUGCUAGACUGAUUUCCUUCACCUUUUUUUUUUCAUUGUAUCCCUUAAUAUUCUUGACUUUUUGUUCUUCUGGAUGAAUUUUGUUAUAUUUUCUAGCUCUAUAAAAUACUUCUUUGGUAGUUUGGCAUGACAGCAAAUAAUCUAAAUAGAAUUAUAAAUUUUAAUGUACUGACUUGACCUACCUAUAAGCAAUUACUAUUUUUUUCUCCAGUUGUUCAGACCUGUCUUUAUAUUUGUAUGAAAAGGGUUUUGUAAUUGGGUUCUUUUACUCCCUAGAUUUUUUCUUGGCAAAUAAACUCCCAAGUAUUUCAGAAUGUGAGCAGUUAUUUUAAGUGGAAUUUCUCUUAUCUUGUUUUGGUGGGUUUUGUUGGCAAUAUAUAGAAAUGCUAAUGAUUUAUGUGAGUUUCUUAUAUAUCUUGAAACUUUGCCAAAGUUGUUGAUUAUUUCAAGUACUUUUUUAGUUGAUUCUCUGGGUUCUCCAGGUAUACCAUUUUAUCAUCGGCAGAGUUUUGUUUCCUUGUUAUCUAUUCUAAUUCCUUCAAUUUCUUUUUCUUGUCAUUGCUAUUGCUAGCAUUUCUAAUACUGUAGCGAAUAAUAGUGGUCAUACUAGACAUUCUUGCUUCACUCCUGAUCUUAUGGGAAAGGCUUUUAAUAAAGUAUUCCCAUUACAAAUAAUGCUUGCUUUUGGUUUUGGAUAGAUACUCCUUAUCAUUUUUUAAAAGGCUGUAUAUAUUCUCAUGAUUUCUAGUGUGUUUUUUUUUUAAUAGGAAGGGGUGUUGUAUUUUGUCAGAUCGUUUCUGCAUCUAUUGAUAUCAUAUAGUUUUUAUUUUUGUUAUUUACAUGGUCAUUUAUGCUUAUAGUUUUCCUAAUAUUAAACUAAUACUGCCUUCCUGAUGUUAAUACCACUUAGUCACAGUGUAUGAUCUUUGCACAAAUUGCUAUAAUCUCCUUAUUAAUAUUUAAUAAACAUUUUUACAUCAGUAUUCAUUAGGGAAAUUUGUAUAUAAUUUUAUUUUUGUUUUUGUUCUCCCUGGUUUAGGUAUUGAAACCUUAUUUGUAUCAAAAAAUCAAUUUUGUAGAACUCCUUCUUUAAUAGUUUGUCUAUUACUGAAAUUAAUUGUUCCUUAAAUGCUUGAUAGAAUUCACUUGUAAAUCCAUUUUAUCUUGGGGAUUUUUUCCUUAAGGAGCUUAUUUGUGACUUUCAAUUCCUUUUUUGAAGAUAAAGAUACUUAAAUAUCUAUUUGCUCUUCGGUUAAUCUGGGCAAUUUAUAUUUUUGUAAAUAUUCACCUAUUUUGCUUAGAUUGUUUUUUACCAGCAUAUAUUUGGGCAAAAUUGCUCCUGGUAAUUGUUUUAAUUUCAUCUUCAUUGGUGAUGCAUUCAAGUCUUUUCAGUUUCAACACUGGUAGUUUGGUUUUUCUUUUUUCCUUUUUUAUAAAAAAUCAAAUUAAACAAUGGUUUAUCUAUUUUAUUUGUAUAUUUUCUUUGUAUUUAUUUUUGAAGUAGCUUUAUUCGAUAUUUGCUCGUCUCAGCCAAGGUCCCAGCCAUAAGUGUAUCUUGGGGGUGGGUUAUUUAGCAUAAAACCAACUCUUAGUUUUAUUUAUGAGUUCAGUAGGGUUUUUUUUUUACUUUGAAUUUUAUUAAUAAUCUCUCCUUUGAUUUUCAUGAUUUCUGUUUUGCUGUCUAUUUUUUAAUUUGUUCUUUUUCUAGUUUUUUAAUGGUAUGUACAUCAUUGAUUUACUAUUUUUCUCUUCUAUUGAUGUAUGUGUUUAGGAAAGGUUUUUUUUAAAUGAUUUUAUAAAUGCACAAAUAUAAUGUCAGGAAACUCCAGUCUCUGCGACAUAUCAAUAUUUAUUUUGUGAUAGGUUUGAACUUGUUAAAGGGCACAAAGAUUUUAGAAAAUAGAGUGAUUGGUGAGUUCAACCAAUCAGACCAAAGGAGUCCCUUGAUGGAUGAUGGAGAGUCCCUUGAUGGGUGGUGGUUAUAGCUGUAAAAUUAAAGUCCUAUUGGUCCCCCCCCCCAAAAAAAAAACUGUGGGAAAAAGAACACUGGAAUUGAAGUCAGUGGAACUGGAGUCAAAUCCCAGCUUUGUGCCUAUGUAUUAUUAUGGCAAGUUAGUUCAUAUAUUGAGGACUCUGUUGCUCUAAUUCUAACACAAAGGGGUUGUACAAGAUGAUCUUCCAAUGCCUCUCCAAAACUAAAUUUCUCUAAGUUCUAUGUGUUACAAUGAAAGGUUAUAACUCCUAAUAAAGGGGGAUAAUUUUUAAAUGCUGCCUACUUGGCAUAAAACUUCGGUCUUUCCUCUGCUCCCUUGUUGGCCAGUCAUAUUCUACAUUCUUGAGUUUACAGGAUAAAUAUCCUUUGGGUGAGAUGUAACUGUUUUGAAAGAUGUAUUGUUGCCAUCUUUGGUAGCCAAAGGCUUUACUCCCUGCAAUAGGAUUUGAUCUGCUUCUGGGUUUCUGUCCUAAGUCCCUCAUGCAGAUGGUGAACCUCUUUCCCUGGCAAUGAAGGCCUGGCAGCCAUGCCACCUGAGGUGCUAACAUGUCCAGGUAGGGAAGAAGCAGGUCACACCUCAUGUGCCAGUCAGCUGUGGGGUCAGGUCUUUAGAGGCUACUGCACCUCCAGCCUGAGCAAAUAGGGAAUCUCAAAAACAAAACAAAACAAAACCCAUACAUUGACUAUUAUAUUAGCUUAAAGGCUAAGUAGACUAAAAUUACUACAGAUCACAUUUCCAAUUACUUGACCAUCUUGUUAGGGCCAAUACAUUAUUGUUCUAGGUGUUUAUCCAUCAAAACAUUUUACUAAUAGUGUUGUAUAAAAAUCUGAUUACUAAUAUUCAAAUCUGUUUGCUUUCACUUUUCAGGUGGAUCUACUUACAGGCUCUCCUAACCUUUAUAAGACAGAUUUGAUAGUUUUGAGAUAAUUAACUCCCUCCCUCCCCACCUGACUGCACACUGCACCAGGAUCAUUUUAACUACUUUUUAAUUUGUUUUUAGUAUUUCCCCUUUGGUCUCUAGCUGGACAGCAGUGCAUUUCUUUUGGAGCCGUCCAGAGGUCUCCCUGAGGGUGAGGGUUCACUCCAUCUAGAUGUGACAAUCUCAUCAAGUAAUGGAGAUGAGAAGCACUGUGUGCUCCAGCCCACAUGCAUAGGCAUCACACAGGGUUCUGCCAUAGCACAGAGAUUUGUUUAUUAUAUAGGUUGGUGAUUACAUACUUCUUUGGCAUACAAUCAAUUUUCUAUAUAUAUGCUUCUAUGAUAAUAAGACACAUAGCCUAAGGAGAUGAUAGUCAAUGAAACAUUGUUGCUAUAGAUGAAUGACAUAAACAGGGUGAUCUAGAGGUUAGUUCUCCCAUUGUUACUUUUGGUCAGCUUUCACAAUCAAUCACAAUUACUUAGGAGAUGGGUAACAAAACAUUUCAUAGCUAGGUACAAGGUUAGAGGGCAAUUUAAUGACAGACCAGAUUUGGGGUUUUCCUCAAUUUACAAGUUCUAUUUUUCUUGUGUUACUUUAAAGCACCUGGCAAUGUUGCCUGGUUUCUAUCUAUAAACAGAAUUCAGUGGAGUCUGUCUUGAAGGUGAUUGAUGUUCUUGGCUUGCCUGGCUUGUAAUGGGAGUGAAUGUGGCUCUGUGAAGAAGGAAGGGAGGGGGGCAAUAGGUAGUGAUCUCUAGGUUUUAAUUCUGUGAAUGUAAUCUUUUAGGGUAAUUGUCUGGGAGGAAUUAAGGUGGGAUAUAUGUGUAUUGAUAAGUAUUUGCUCUCAUAUUAUUUCUCCUGUAUUGGGGAGAGAAUAAUAAUCAUAACAAGUCCAUUAGUAAGGGAAAUUAGAGAGAAAGAAGUCACAGAGGAGGAUCAGUGAGGGCCUCAUUCUCUGGGGGGUUGCCUUGCAGACCCCAUUUCCCCAGACUGUGACCUUGUCAGUCAGCCAGGGUAUGAUGGCCUCCAGCAGAAUUUGUUUAUUUUAAUAUUUUUUUCUUUUAAAUGUCAAAAAUAAUUUUCAUUAGGACCUAUUGAUUUUAUAAAAGUUGCUCCUGGAUAUCUCUCUCCUUCAUCUUCCUUUCCUUUCACCUGACUCUCUAUCAACUCUCACUUUUAAAAAAAAUUAAGAAAAUAAUCCUUGCCUUUUGUCUUAGAAGCCAUUUGAGAGCAGAAGAGUGAUAAGGGCAAGGGAAAGGGUUAAGCAAUUUGUCCAGGGUCAUACAGAUAGGAGGUGUCUAAGGCCAGAUUAGAACCCAAGUCCUCCUAGAUCUGGUGCUCUAUCACUGUGUUACCUAGCUGUACUAACUUACCCUUUUAUUUAUUUGUUUGUUUAUUUAUUCAUAUCUUAUUUUAUUUCUUAAUAAAAAAUUUCCACAUAAGUUUUUUCCAAAGUUAUAUGAUCCAAAUUGUCUCCCUCCCUCCUUUUCCAAACCCCUCCUAGAGUUGGCAAGCAAUUCAAUCUGGGUUAUGCAUGUAUUAUCAUGGAAAAGGUAUUUCCAUAUUGUUCAUUUUUGUAGGUGAAUAAUCUUCUAAAACCAAAACCCCAAAAUAUAUGCACAAAUAAACAAAUGAAAAAUUGUAGGCUUUUAUCUGCAUUCUUAUUCCAACAAUUCUUUCUCAGAUCAACUCAUUCUUUUAAAGAAAUAAGGAAAAAUAAUCAUGACAAUGACUGCAACUGACAAAAUAUGCAACAUGUUGCUUCCAAGUUCCUCACCAUAAGGUAAAUGAGAUGAACUCAUCCAUAAAACGGAAGCAGAGAGAAGAAUGGAUUAAAAGCCAGAAUCCUGCCAUAUGUUGUUUACAAGAAACACACAUGAGACAGAAAGACACAAGAGUAAAGGGUAAGGGGAUGGAGCAGAAUCUACUGGGCUUCAACUGAGACCAAAAAAAAAAAAAAGCAGGAGUAGUAAUCAUGAUCUCAGAUAAAGCUAAAGCAAAAAUAGAUCUGAUUAAAAGAGAUAAGGGAGAUAAUUAUAUCUUGAUAAAAGGCAUUAUAGACAAUGAAGAAAUAUCAGUACUUGACAUAUAUGCACCAAAUGAUAUAGCAUCCAGAUUCUUAAAGGAGAAACUAAAGGAGCUUAAGGAGGAAAUAGAUAACAAAAUCCUACUAGUGGGGGGACUCAACCUUCCCCUAUCAGAACUAGAUAAAUCUAAUUUUAAAAAAUAUGAAAGGAGUAAAAAAAGGGAAUGAAAUUUUAGAAAAAUUGGGUUUAAAAGAUAGCUGGAGAAAACUGAACCAGGAUAAAAAAGAAUAUAUCAUGCUAUCCACAUUAAGAGAAAGAACUAUGGGAGUAGAAAUACAAAAGCAAAACAUAUGGCAUCACUUAUUACAUAUAUGUGUGUGUGUGUGUGUGCGCGUGCGAUUUGGGGUUUAGACUUUAAAAAAUUACUAUAUAACAACAAUGAAUCAUCUGGAAAUGGGUACCAAGUGAUAACAUUUGUAUAACCCAGUGGAAUUGCUUGUCACCUCUGGGAGCAGGGAGGAAAGAAAGGAGGGAAAGAAAAUGAAUCAUGUAAGUAUGGAAAAAUAUUAUUAAAAAGGAUAUAUCUUCUUUUCAACAGCACAUGCUAUAUAUACAAAAAUUGACCAUGUACUAGGGCAUAAAAUGAAAUCACAACCAAAUGCAGAAAGGCAAAAAUUAUAAAUGCAACUUUUCCAGAUCAUAAUGCAACAAAAAUUAUAAUCGAUAAGGGUUCAUGGAAAAGCCAAGUUCCUCACCUUUUAGAGGAAAAGAGGGAAGUACAUUUCAUUCUCUUUUCUAUGGGACCAUUAUUGGUUUCUUUUCUAUUUAGACAGCUCUAUUUAUAUGUGUACACAGCAUUUUUAUUUAGGUUGGAUCUUAACUGCUAUGUCAGGCUUGUCUCUCCACUUCGAAACAAUUCAUGUCUUGGCUUUUGAACCCUCUCCAUUUGAAUUUCAGCUCUGAUUAUUAGGUUGAAGUAGCCUCUAUUUAUGCUUUGGUGCUUUUUUUUUCUUUCUGGUGGUUAAUGGAAAUGUUCAUCCCAGGUCACAGACUGAGCUCAGAGGAAAUAAUGGCUGUAAUCAUUUAGGUAUUGUUAUCAUCUUAUUACUAUGCAGAGUUGUAGUAGUCCCCACCUCACCACCCUCUCAGCUGUUCAUCUGGCUCAGUAUUUCUCUGAGCUUUUCUCUCCUUACACCCCAUCUUGAGUUGGCUUUGUUAUUGCCCACAGAGGGGCAUGGAGACAUGCAAUAAGCAAAAUGUGGCAACUGUCUUUCUGCCAAAAACUAAAUGUGAAGUUACCGUUUUUUUUUAUUUUUUUCCUUCGAAACAUCCCACAGAAGCCCACAGUAGAACAAAGAGAUAUAGGGGGGACUACAUACUGCAGACUAUUAGCCAAAAUGAUUUUUAACCUCCUGUGUAAAACUGGAUGAAUCAAAAAAUGUAAACAGCUUACAGAGUGGGAGGAAUCACCUGGAAAAUGGAAGAAAAAUGUUUUUACCUAUCCAUAGUUAUUAAUGUGGGCAUGCCUUGGUUAGGGCCUUCAUGGCAGUUAUGAACCAGGGAAAGAAAACAGCUUCAUUCUGAGGGCAAAAAGUUUUUCAACUGGGAGGCAACAAACAAUUCGUAGAAAUGAUUUGUAGUUUUAUCCCAGAAUCCAUCAGUUAAUUUCGGGGGGUGUUGAACUUGAAUAGGGGAAAAAAUUAUAUCUUUCUUUUCUUUUUUUUUAAACCCUUACCUUAUGUCUUAUAAUCAAAUAUUGGUUCCAAGGUAGAAGAGUGAUUAGGCUAGGCAGUGGAGGUUAAGUGACUUGCCCAAGGUCACACAGCUAGGAAGUGUCUGAGGCUAGAACUGAACCAAGGACCUCCCAUUUCUGGGCCUGGCUCUCAAUCCACUGAGCUAUCUACCUUACCCCUAUUUUCACUCAUUUUUUAUUUCCUUUGUAAUUUCAUGUAUUUAAUUUUAUACAUUUAAAAAAAUUCAGGGGCAACUGGGUAGUUCAGUUUGUUUGAGAGUCAGGCCUAGAGAUGGGAGGCCUUGGAUUCAAAGCUGGCCUCAGACACUUCCUGGCUGUGUGACCUUGGGCAAAUCACUUAACCCCCAUUGCCUAGUCCUUCCUGUUCUUAUGCCUUGGAACCAAUACAUAGUAUUGAGUCUAAGAAAGUAAAGGUUUAAAAAAAAAACCAUUAUUCAAAGAAAAGGUCCCUAGGCUUCACCCAAAUGCCAAAGUGGGGUGAUCCAUGACACAAAAAUAGUUAAGAACAUGAUUUUCCAGACCCUCUUUUCUAACUGUAUAGAAAACUAGGGGAGCAGCAAAAGCAGUCCCUUCCUAUUCAUCACUUCUAAAGCUAUAACUAGGAAUUUCAUCUUGAAGCAAAUUUAUUUGGGGAAGGGACCUCUGAUGAAGGUUAAAGUAGUUGGAAGAUAGGCGUCAUGGGAAUUGAAGAGAUUGAGGACCUGGAAGUCUAGGGUGUUUGAAGAGGGUAGGAAUCAGGGUCAGUUAAUUAUUCAUUUGUUGGAGAGGGGGAUCUGGUCAGUCAAGCAGUCAAUAAACACUUAUUAAAACCUACUAUGGAUAAGUGCUGGGGACACAAGAAGUCAGAAUACAAUCUUUGCCCUUAAGGAACUGGGAUACAACAUGCAAACAAGAGAUAGACAGAAUCAGUUGGCAAUAAUUAACAGAGAAGGUACUAGAAUUAAGCCUUCCUUAACUGAGAUUUUAGCUGGGACUUGAAGGAAGCCAGGAGGUACCCCCAGAGAGGGAGAGGAUUCCUGGGGAGACAGCCAGUCUAAAUGCCCAAAGGCGUGAGAUGGAGUGUCUAGGGUAAGGAGUCACUGCUCUUCUCUACUCCCAAGGGGAGAAGGUUGAGUGUCCCAGGGCUCAGCUUUAUGGUGAAUGAAAAUUAAAGGGGAGGUAGCUGCUGAAUGAUGGUAGCAGACUCUGAAAGUAGAGGUACUGGUAGGGGCAAGAGCCUGCCCAUUCCUGUAUCUGUCCCCUGCAUGUGAAUUGAAGAAUGAGAGAAGAUGCCAUCAACCUUCUUCAGGGGAAAUACUAGGAGAAAGGAAUGGUGAAAUGCAAGUUAGAGGAUGAAGAGGAGCCUCCCUAUCCAUCACCUGAGGCAAACACCACUACCCAGAGCAAAUAAAUGGCAUCUGUCUCUUGUAUUCUUAAGUCUUGGAUGUAAAAGUCAUUUGGAUGCUGGCAAAAUGAAAACAACUCUCUAUGCAAGUGUAGUUGAUUCUGGUCAAACUUACUUUGAUUAUUCUCUGGAGCUUUCCUGGGUAAUCUACUCUACCUGCGAGAAAAACCCCAGUCUGGAGUUCUUGCAAACAAGGCAUUUCCCUUUCAGUCAUUGGUGGGGAUGAUCCUCUCCCUGGUCACAAAACUGCUUCUGAAACGCACGUUGACACGGGAGCUCUAGAGGCCCAUUCCCUAAUCCCAAAGGAUUUUGUAAUUCAGUAUUAUCAGUGCACUAUUUUCUGGUUCUCUCUAAGCAUUCCAAUCAGUUUUCCCACCUUUGGGGAAAGACUUAGCUGAUUUUUAAACUGAAACCUGGGAUUUUGGUUUUUCUCUACCUUAAGCCACAGAUAGUCUUUUGCAAGCAUUUGUCCAUUUUAAAUUCCUUCACUACUCCAGUAGUUCAUUUCAAAGGAGAAUCGUUUUUUGGGGGGGUCAUGACAAUCCUUAACAAUUGAUCAGAACCUACAGUAGUGCAAAUGCAAGUAACCAAAGGAGGAGGUCAGAGUGAGUUUCCAGCUCAAACCACCAGGCCCAGGAAUAUCCCGGAGUGAUGUUAAAAUGCGUACCAAGUCUACAGGCAGUCUCAGAUUCGUAGUAUCUGAGGUCCCUGCUUCUGAAGGACUUGAGAGGAGCCAUAGGGCCAGAUUAGGGAGGAAAAUGUUGUUGUUAGGCCGUGUUAACAAGUUACAACAAACAGUGUAUGUAAAUAGUAAAGCCUUUAUUUUUUGUUAAGAACAGCAUUUUGAAAAUAAAACAUAUCUGCCCAUGCUUUACAA